GCGAUCAUACCAGCACUAAUGCACCGGAUCCUAUCAGAACUCCGCAGUUAAUCGUGCUUGGGCGAGACUAGUACUAUGAUGGGUGACCUCCUGGGAAGUCCUCAUGUUGCACCCC
This 115-nucleotide ribosomal RNA is filed under the name Tetracentron sinense. Lineage: Eukaryota; Viridiplantae; Streptophyta; Magnoliopsida; Trochodendrales; Trochodendraceae. The record is from RNAcentral.